GGUCGAACGGCCACAUUGGGACUGAGACACGGCCCAAACUCCUACGGGAGGCAGCAGUAAGGAAUUUUCGGCAAUGGAGGAAACUCUGACCGAGCAAUGCCGCGUGAACGAUGAAGUAUUUCGGUACGUAAAGUUCUUUUAUUAGGGAAGAAAAGAUGGUGGAAAAACCAUUAUGACGGUACCUAAUGAAUAAGCCCCGGCUAACUAUGUGCCAGCAGCCGCGGUAAUACAUAGGGGGCAAGCGUUAUCCGGAAUUAUUGGGCGUAAAGGGUGCGUAGGCGGUUAAAUAAGUUUAUGGUCUAAGUGCAACGCUCAACGUUGUGAUGCUAUAAAAACUGUUUAGCUAGAGUUGGAUAGAGGCAAGUGGAAUUCCGUGUGUAGUGGUAAAAUGCGUAAAUAUACGGAGGAACACCAGAAGCGAAGGCGGCUUGCUGGGUCUUAACUGACGCUGAGGCACGAAAGCGUGGGGAGCAAACAGGAUUAGAUACCCUGGUAGUCCACGCCCUAAACGAUGAGUACUAAACGUUGGAUAAAACCAGUGUUGAAGUUAACACAUUAAGUACUCCGCCUGAGUAGUACGUACGCAAGUAUGAAACUUAAAGGAAUUGACGGGACUCCGCACAAGCGGUGGAUCAUGUUGUUUAAUUCGAAGGUACCCGAAAAACCUCACCAGGUCUUGACAUGCUUUUGCAAAGCUGUAGAAAUACAGUG
Molecule: ribosomal RNA, 711 nt
Filed under: Candidatus Phytoplasma solani
Lineage: Bacteria; Bacillati; Mycoplasmatota; Mollicutes; Acholeplasmatales; Acholeplasmataceae
Description: bacterial SSU rRNA
Rfam family: Bacterial small subunit ribosomal RNA
Source: RNAcentral